AUGGCAGCGACCCUUCGCCGCCGUGCCCCGACACAUUUUCCACCGGGGCCAGGCCGGGGCAGCGCACCGCACGCGCGCACGCUCUCUGACGCGGAGCACGACGGGCGAGCCACCUUGCCCGGCGGUCCCGGGGGCAGCAGGAAUCCGCGCUGCGCUGUCUGCCGUUGCACGCCCAUGUGGCCCUCCCCUCCCCACGCUUAUCAAUUGCUAAGCCGCCGUCGUCUUCUUCCUUCUACCUCUUUCAUCCCUACGUCCCACCUACCUAGCUCGUGUGCGCCAUCUGGAUCUGAAUCUAGCCCCCUCCUCCAUCCCUGUAUAUAA
This 321-nucleotide ribosomal RNA is filed under the name Triticum aestivum (bread wheat). RNAcentral's name for it is "partial small subunit ribosomal RNA". Lineage: Eukaryota; Viridiplantae; Streptophyta; Magnoliopsida; Poales; Poaceae. The record is from RNAcentral.